CCCGGCACAAGCGGUGGAGCAUGUGGUUUAAUUCGACGCAACGCGAAGAACCUUACCAGGGCUUGACAUCCCCUGACCGCGUAUGAAAGUACGUUUUCACCCUCGGGUGACAGGGAGACAGGUGGUGCAUGGUUGUCGUCAGCUCGUGUCGUGAGAUGUUGGGUUAAGUCCCGCAACGAGCGCAACCCCUACGUUUAGUUGCUAACGCGUGAAGGCGAGCACUCUAGACGAACUGCCGUUGACAAAACGGAGGAAGGUGGGGAUGACGUCAAAUCAUCAUGCCCCUUAUGUUCUGGGCUACACACGUGCUACAAUGGCCGGUACAGACGGACGCAAAGCCGCGAGGUGGAGCAAAUCCUAAAAAGCCGGUCUCAGUUCGGAUUGCAGGCUGCAAUUCGCCUGCAUGAAGUCGGAAUCGCUAGUAAUCGCAGGUCAGCAUACUGCGGUGAAUACGUUCCCGGGCCUU
Molecule: ribosomal RNA, 466 nt
Filed under: uncultured Pelotomaculum sp.
Lineage: Bacteria; Bacillati; Bacillota; Clostridia; Eubacteriales; Desulfotomaculaceae
Description: bacterial SSU rRNA
Rfam family: Bacterial small subunit ribosomal RNA
Source: RNAcentral